Molecule: long non-coding RNA, 7087 nt
Organism: Chroicocephalus ridibundus (black-headed gull)
Lineage: Eukaryota; Metazoa; Chordata; Aves; Charadriiformes; Laridae
Exons: 4
Source: RefSeq, a predicted model, not a curated record
CGGCUUGUUCGGGCCUUUCCUUGGGGAUAGCACUGACCCUCGGGUUUUCCCCUGACGCUGCUUCCUGCAAAUCCCUGUGGUCAGGCGUUGACUCUCCAGCUUCCCAGAGAGCCCCGGGGCCUGUGAGGCGGCGAGGACUGCCCGCCUCCAUUUUGUGCCGCCUGCCCGCUGGGUAGCUGAUGUGGCGGCCGGGGGGUGGGGGGGAAGGCGGCGGUGUCCUAAUGCGGCCUAAAAAUGCCCCCCGCCUAAAGACGGGGAUGUGCGCGGGUUCUCCAUCGUUCCCCACCACCCUGGCGUCAGCUGCGCUCCGUUCCCCGCUGGUGACCGGGCUCUCCCCGGUGUGGAGCCGCGGAGAGCCCCGGUUGUGGUCUGUGCAGGGGAACGGGCGUGGGGGGCGGCUUGUCGGUGCUUUGAGGAGGACAGGGAAUGACUGACCACCCCCCGGAAGGGCCUAGGUGUUUUUGCCUUUCAACAGCUCUUGCUCAAAUUGUUCUGUGUUCCCCUGGAUCCUCGAUUGGUACUGAAGAAAGCUGGUUUAGCAAUUGCAGUUGGGGGCUGGAUUCAAGCCUGGGUAUUCUCACUCCUGGUUCUGCUUGUUACUGCUUGGGACUUCCGCUGCCAUAAAGCGGUGGAAAUAGGCUUGCUAUCUGCUUCCCAGAGAGACAGCAGGUAUUUUCUUGCAUUUGUAGAGCAUCUGGAGAGACCCACAGAAAUAAUUACUACACUGUCAUGAGGACACAUGGGUUUUUUUGCAAGGAGGAGGCCGUCAUCUAUAAGGAACAAAGUCUGAAGCUUCUUCGUGCUCUUAAAGGCCAAUGCUUUUGUCAGCCUAAGGGGAUUUGGAGGCAAUGCUGCCGAGACUUUUUGGCAUAGGAUAUAAAAAGCAAUGGAAUUGCAAAUAGGCCCUCUCCUCUGCCCAUAGUCUUGAAGCAGGUCUCCCUUCUGUUAGUUAUUUUGUGUAUAGAACUGUGCACAUCAGAGAAUUCUUCACAGCUUGCCACAUCUGACAUAAAAUUAUGGCCCCUCAGUGCUUCAUCACAGGAGAGCAACAUUAGGACCGUGGUUCCAAAUUCCUUGGCUCUGCCAAUUUACAUGUAGAUAUUUAAUUCAUCUCUGAAUGCUGAUUUACUUUCUUCAAGGCCCAUUGCUUGUUUGAAGCAAUGUCCUGGUUUGAGUGACACAGGAUGAAUUUCUAAUGCCUGGGAAAACUGCACUUUUAAAAGACUCUAGCAUCUGAAUUAGUGAUAUAUACUUUAUAGCAGCUAUGGUAUGCAGGUUUCAAGGUAUCGGUGUUUUUGAGCUUGCCAGGUGCGGGAAUGAGGAGGAGCAAGACCUGGGGACUUGACCCAAGCUGGCCAACAGGAUUAUUUCAUACCAUGAGCGAUGCAUUUAAUAUAAAUUGGAAAGUUUGCUGCGAAGUUCUCUCUCCCUUGAUGGCUGUGAUCCAAAGAGCGUCUUGCCCCAGUGCCAGACUCCUGAGGCCUUCCCUUCCUCCCAAAGCCAUAGCACAGUGUCCAACAUUUGCUGUCUGCUGCUGGGAAUGCACAGCUUCCUGCUGAUAGCACUGGCUGAGUAUAAUCUUUGUAUAUUUUAUAUUGGUAUUGGGAUCAGUAUUCGUUCUUUAGUAUUAUUGUUGUUAAUUAUCUAGUCUUAGUCUAUUAAAUCUGUUUGUAUUUGGUUUUUUUCCUGAUUCCCCUUCGUGGGUGGGAAGGGGGCAUUGGGUGAUAGAAUAAUUGUCUAAAUGACAAUAAAUUGUUGUGGGUUUCUCAAACCAUAACAAGCAACAACUUAUUUCUUAGGGUAGUUGAUCAAAAUGGGUUAAUUGAAGACUCAGGUGUGAGUCUGAACUAAGAAAUGCUGUCACAGCUUUGUUGCUGAGUGACAUCUGUAGAAUGUUACUUUCCACAAUGUCUUGAUUAUGCCCUAAAGAUACCCAGCAGUCUGUAAAGGCCCUUCUUUUACUGAAGAGCUUUACAAAGUGAUACCUUAUUAUAUUAUUGAUGGGGGCAGCAAAGGUCACUUGUUGAUAGAGUUGCCCAACACUUCUCAUGAUCAAGUUCAGUUUUCCUUUUUUAUGUCUCAUUUCAUUAGAACUUUGUAAUUUCCAUGCUGAAGUUUUCCAGGCUGGACAUCUGCCUUGAGGUAACGAAGUGUGUAAACUGUACUUUGGCCAAAAAAUGAUUCUUUGUUGGCUCCACACUCUCGCAUUUUUCCACUUUAACAUUUUCAGAGAUGACUGGAUACCAGUGGCCUGGACUUCUGUUUUUCUGAUGAGGAAGGGAACCAGGUGGAAACCAGGUAGAGAAGGAACAAUGGAAAACUUCCAUGAGUUGCUGCCAGAGUACAACCAAAGUCCAGGACAUAGCCUGACAGACGAGUACUCUGGAGUUGUGGAAGAUGAAAAAGAUCAGCCAUUUCCAAAGGAAAAGAUCCCAAAACAUGAAAGGAUCUGAGAAAAUGUUUGAUCCCAGGCAGUAAACUCUGGCAACCUUGUCUCUCUCACCAGCACUUUGGAAAAGGGACUCAAAGCUUAUCUGCCAGGUCUCUCUGUCUGCGUCAAGGAUGCAUCCUGUUGCUCUGGUGAAAGUGAGCUGAAGGCAACUAAACUGAGGUCACAAUUUCUCCAUGUAUGGUCCAUCGCAGUCUAACCUGGGUGGUGCCAGUUCACCACUUCUGUUGAAUGUGAAAUGAUAUAAAAUGAAUUUGUCCCUUGGACCCAUGGAAGGUAAGCCCUAAUUUCUCUGUCCGAUGUCCACAUAGGUUACUAACUGUAUAUAAUAAACACCUCUUUCCAGAUGUGUGAUUCAGAAGGAGCGGGAAAGCAGCAGCACAAGGCUGCAGUCAAUGUGGUUGUCGGUUUUUAAUCCAGGGGAAGGGGCCUUCUUCCCAGGCCAUCAGAAGACAUAGUGAAGGAGAGUGAAGAAAGGAGGAGGAGGAGGAAGAUGUGAUCACUAUUACAGCAGGAAGCGGAGGUAAGUCUCAAAAACAUGUGAGAAGACUGAUGCUGUGAAAUCUGAUGUUUUGUGGAUUGAGGCCUUGUCUCUUUGCCGGCUUUUGGCUAUAGUAAGGCAUUAUAUCCACUGUGAAAUACCUCAUUUGUAACUUGUGACGUCUUUUGUAAAAAUGGCCUUGGAGUACUGAUUGUGGUAAAUGGAGCUUCCCCAAGGUGAAGUCUGUGGCUUCUUUGUGCUGCUUUUACUAAGAGUUCUGCCGAGAGACGCAUCUUGAGAUACAACUACUGAAACAGAAAAAACAAAUGGAAGUUCUGUUCUCCCUUGCUUUUCUUUUCUUAGUACAACUGUUGGCACAUUUCAUGUACUAAAAGCAAUUUACAGAUGAAGAUAGUCUAAAAAGUCAAAGUUCAAAGAAAACGUAGCAGUAGUUUGUGAUCACAGUUAAAGGAUUCACUUCAAAGCCUGAUGAAAGACUUCUGUAAUGGUUCUGAUUAGCACUUUAAAAAAAAAAAAGGCAGGCAGAAUUAACGACAUUUUCAGCCCAUAGUUCAGAGAAGUCCAAUUUGUGACAAAAUCUCCGAGUUUACCAAUACUUCAGGGAUCCUCUGAAGGGCAUUCAUAUACUUAAUUUCACUUGGAUGGGCUUUGGAUGAGAUUCUUAAUGAAUAGGGAUUGUAUUUGGAUGAUUUGCUGGGCUGAAGUUAAGAAUGUUGUUGUCUCACCUCAGUAGGAAAAGGAUCUUGGACUGACCUCCUUAGGAACUAGUGAAUUUCUAGUGUUCUCGCUUGUCCCGUGCAAUACUCGGAGGAAUAAAUGACAAUGCCAACAUGUUAGCAAGUUCCAGUAUGUUAAGACGUUUCUUCUCAAAAUGACAUCUUAGAUUCCCUCUGUUCCUUGCUGCUCCAGUCUGUGGUUGAAUCAGCAGAGGAGAUGCUAUAUCUUAGUCAAAGUACAAAAGGCUUCCAGUUAGCUCCUGCAGUUUGUUGUGAAUGUUAAACUAUAGUGGAGCUUCACAUUCAAGACAGACUUGGAUAGAUUCAAACAAGCCAGAUUUGCUACCAACACAGACAUCAAAAUGGCAUGCCACCAAGCAGAAUAAAAUUGUUAAUAGCAACAGCACUUAAAUGAAAAAAUGGACAACUGGAACAUGUGCAGUGGAAAAGAAGUGGACUUCUUUGAUGGACAGCUUAACACCAUUCAUUGGAGUUGUUCAAGAACACCGCCUGGUUUGCAGCAGAACUGAUCAAGGUUAGAAGUUUGUAUUACAGAGUGUUUUAUGGAACUACAGUGAGGCAUUUUUCUUAAACACAUAGGCAAGUGGACUUGGGUUCUGAACAAGAUUUCCUGUAAUGCAUAAGCAUAGACCUUAGGCAGCAUUUGAUUUUUGUGAGGUGGCUAAAUGGAGGUCAUCCAGGCAUGCAUAUGGUGCUAUAUAUUAACAGGGGCUCAGCUGUCUGAUUGUUUGGAGUCACGCUCUAAUCAGUUCUGACAAUUCAUAAAGGGUUAUGCAGAAGGCUGAAAGUCUUACUCUUUCAAGUCAUGAGAAGUGAGAAUGGAAGAGGUUUCCUGUUUGGAAAGAAGUAUAUAGGCAGCUGUCUUGGUUAACUCUGCAGUGGAGGAAAAAAAAUAAAUCUGAGGGUAACAAAACUUUCCCCUGGGUGACUAGUGUGUAUCUUCUUCAUGCAUAAACACUUUUAAACCUGGGCUCUUUUUUUUUCUGAUUUUUAACUGAAAACAGAGGGUCUGACUGCAGUGGAAGGACAGACCUUUGCAGAUUCGUGUCUUUUAGAGGAUUAGUGAUGUUAUUUUCCAAAUACAGGCUAGGAUUUUCUGGGUUACCAAGCACAAAGACUGUGAAUCAACAAUACACACUUGUCAUGUUCAGUUGUGCUCUUUUGUGGUGUUAGCACGUGCAUCCAUUUGAGUGCAAACACCUGGCCUUCCCAUCCCACCAGUCUGCGCAAUGGGAUCUAUUCCAAAAUGCUUGGAUUUUCAUGGGUGUUCCCUCCACAAAGGGUAAGAGUCAGGCACUGAAGUAAGCCUGACUGGGCUUGAAAUGCACAUCCAACAUCAGCUGCUCCACAUCUGCAACGUGGAAAGCUGCAUAUGUCCAAAGGCUCAGUUGUUCUUGCCUCCAAUGCAUGUGGAACAGGCAGGCUACUUUGUGGCACAGUACAAGUGCCAACUUCCUUCUUUUGCCAUGUUACUGAAUUUGCUGCUCUGGCUUUUGCAGUGUUGCAUGGCAAAUUCAUAAUCUUUACUAAUAUGUUUGGAUAUACUUUCAGCGGGCAGUGAAAAGAAGAGGCAUAGCACAGAAGUGACGAUAGUCAUAAUCUCUUAGCACAAACUGGGAGGAGAGGUGCAGAAAAAAAAUGAGAAAGACACGAAGAACCUUUAAGCUUAUACCAAAACCAAGCACUGGUAUCUUUUUUUUUUUUUCUUUAUUUUCUGUAUGAACAUCCAGAUUUCACUGGAGAAGUCAUUACUUGCCGAAAACAGUUUCUCACCUGUACUAUAAAAACAUUGGUUUCUUAGUGAAAACAAGCAGUGGUGGCAAUUCUUUAAAUUAGUUUUGCUAUGAAUUGUGAUUGGGGCAAGAAUUUCUGCUCUGCCUGUUGUUGAAGGAGGGUCGCUACUUGGAGGGUUGGGCCACAGAGUCCUGGUCCCAGCAUGAGACCCCAGAAUUUCUAGGAUGCUGUGGGCCAAGUCCUGCAACGUCAGAGACAGCAGUUCUGUUUCUAAUGUGGAAAUGGCUGCAGUGUUGCAAACUACCUUCCACCUCCAGCCUUUGAUGCUCUGGAGAUUUGGAUGGAUUUCUGGCAAGAGAUGAUCUGUUGCAGUACUAGCUCAUAGGGCUUUCAAAGAGACAGAAAUGCCUUAAAAUUAAUCUUGAUUCUACUCAUGUUUAAAGGCCUGCUUGUCAGUAUGGAAGGAGACUCUCUCCAUACAGCCUUCUGUGGUGGUCCCUCAGGAGGGGAUGGUUCAGUCCUGUGGUACAGCAUCCCCGUGUACAGAAUUCAUACCAUGGUCCUGAAACAUGGGCAUUUGCCUCUUCAGCCUGGGAAGGGACUGGCGCAUCACUUCUUGGGGUGAUUUUAUCCCAGUGAACCACUUGCCUUCACCUAAUGAUGGAGUUUGAAGCUUAGAGGGGAUGUAGUUAAUCACCUUAGAGUCUCUUCCAUUGCACUAGGCCAGAGCAAAGGUCCUUCUGUCCCAGCAUUCAUUCUCUCUCAGGUCACGCUGCUGAGCUGAUAGUAUUUGGUAGUUGCUGGGCUGCAACUCUGAUCAAAAAGCGAAACUCUAUCCUGUACUUGGGCAAUUAAUAUAAUAGGCAACAGGGCCCUGACAAGUCAUCUUGCUCAGAAGUCUGAAGUCAUUUCCCUCCCUCCCCCCCCGCCCCGGUUUCUCCCCUCCAGUGUGUAUCUAAGCACUGACCAGAAACACAGACAAUUUUGACAAUCAAACACACUGUAUGGUUGACUGGACCGCUACAGCAGUGGCUGUCGCAUGUUUAUACUGAGUCAAAGACAAAAAUAUUUCUCUAGAGCAAUAUUAAACAGGUUUCUUUUUUCAAGAUGGUAAAGGUUUAGUGGUUCCCAGAAUAGGUGGUAUGUGGAAAAUAUCAAAAUAUAUUCAGCUCUGUUUUACCACACAGAUUUUCCACAGCUAAAUUUACCUUCUAUCAUGUAUAUCAGGAGUGCGAGAGAUCUGGAAAACCCCAGACUACUCCAGAUUGCUACUUUCAACUGACAUUGAUAGGGGCUUACCCUAACUAACAGUAACAAUGAAUGUAAAUAUAUUUUUGAGGUUCCUUGAAAAGUCUAUUUGAAUCUCUCUAACAGACAAGUACUUCCUUUUUUGGACAGCCAUUUUUUUCGUUGGCUGAAACUGAAGAUACAAGCAGCCAACGUUAUGGACUGCAGUGCUACUGUGAUGUACAAACACUGCUGUAUGUUCUUUAAUUCUGAUAAAGGGCUGUACAGGGAACAUAACUUGGAAGACCAUGGCAACUGGUCAGUCUCCCCCUAUUUCACCCAUCACUCCUCUAAACCCAGCGCUGUAAGCAUCCAGUGCAAUCUAUAGUCCUUGUACUCUCACAUGUGUGGCACCUGGCUGCCAAGUGACAUGGUAGA